CUGCAAGUCGAGCGCAGGAAGCAAGUUGAUCCCCUUCGGGGGUGACGCUUGUGGAAUGAGCGGCGGACGGGUGAGUAACACGUGGGCAACCUGCCUGUAAGACUGGGAUAACCCCGGGAAACCGGGGCUAAUACCGGAUAAUACUUUCUUUUGCAUAAAGGAAAGUUGAAAGGCGGCUUCGGCUGUCACUUACAGAUGGGCCCGCGGCGCAUUAGCUAGUUGGUGAGGUAACGGCUCACCAAGGCGACGAUGCGUAGCCGACCUGAGAGGGUGAUCGGCCACACUGGGACUGAGACACGGCCCAGACUCCUACGGGAGGCAGCAGUAGGGAAUCUUCCGCAAUGGACGAAAGUCUGACGGAGCAACGCCGCGUGAGUGAUGAAGGUUUUCGGAUCGUAAAACUCUGUUGUUAGGGAAGAACAAGUACGAUAGUAACUGAUCGUACCUUGACGGUACCUAACCAGAAAGCCACGGCUAACUACGUGCCAGCAGCCGCGGUAAUACGUAGGUGGCAAGCGUUGUCCGGAAUUAUUGGGCGUAAAGCGCUCGCAGGCGGUCCUUUAAGUCUGAUGUGAAAUCUCGCGGCUCAACCGCGAACGGUCAUUGGAAACUGGAGGACUUGAGUACAGAAGAGGAGAGUGGAAUUCCACGUGUAGCGGUGAAAUGCGUAGAGAUGUGGAGGAACACCAGUGGCGAAGGCGACUCUCUGGUCUGUAACUGACGCUGAGGAGCGAAAGCGUGGGGAGCGAACAGGAUUAGAUACCCUGGUAGUCCACGCCGUAAACGAUGAGUGCUAGGUGUUAGGGGGUUUCCGCCCCUUAGUGCUGAAGUUAACGCAUUAAGCACUCCGCCUGGGGAGUACGGCCGCAAGGCUGAAACUCAAAAGAAUUGACGGGGGCCCGCACAAGCGGUGGAGCAUGUGGUU
RNAcentral lists this ribosomal RNA (925 nucleotides) under Oceanobacillus sp. Its description in RNAcentral is "bacterial SSU rRNA". It matches the Rfam family "Bacterial small subunit ribosomal RNA", at positions 55 to 946 of the family's 1533-position model. Lineage: Bacteria; Bacillati; Bacillota; Bacilli; Caryophanales; Bacillaceae. The record is from RNAcentral.